This 497-nucleotide ribosomal RNA is filed under the name uncultured bacterium. Its description in RNAcentral is "partial 16S ribosomal RNA". It matches the Rfam family "Bacterial small subunit ribosomal RNA", at positions 28 to 507 of the family's 1533-position model. The record is from RNAcentral.
GACGAACGCUGGCGGCGUGCCUAAUACAUGCAAGUAGAACGCUGAAGAGAGGAGCUUGCUCUUCUUGGAUGAGUUGCGAACGGGUGAGUAACGCGUAGGUAACCUGCCUUGUAGCGGGGGAUAACUAUUGGAAACGAUAGCUAAUACCGCAUAACAAUGGAUGACACAUGUCAUUUAUUUGAAAGGGGCAAUUGCUCCACUACAAGAUGGACCUGCGUUGUAUUAGCUAGUAGGUGAGGUAAUGGCUCACCUAGUCGACGAUACAUAGCCGACCUGAGAGGGUGAUCGGCCACACUGGGACUGAGACACGGCCCAGACUCCUACGGGAGGCAGCAGUAGGGAAUCUUCGGCAAUGGGGGCAACCCUGACCGAGCAACGCCGCGUGAGUGAAGAAGGUUUUCGGAUCGUAAAGCUCUGUUGUAAGUCAAGAACGGGUGUGAGAGUGGAAAGUUCACACUGUGACGGUAGCUUACCAGAAAGGGACGGCUAACUACGUG